This 1384-nucleotide long non-coding RNA is filed under the name Capra hircus (goat). Its description in RNAcentral is "lncRNA (ENSCHIG00010032270.1)". Lineage: Eukaryota; Metazoa; Chordata; Mammalia; Artiodactyla; Bovidae. The record is from RNAcentral.
GAACCUGGGUCUCCUGCAUUGCAGGCAGAUUUUUUACCAUCUGAACCAUAAGGGAAGCCCUAUGGCUUACCUCAAUACAAAAAGGUUUUGGUGUUAAAUAAUUAAAAAGAAGAAGAGGGUUAGUGGUCAAUAUCAUGGCUACCAUUUAGGCAGGGCCUUCUGUGGGCUGGGACUCUAACAGAAGCCAGGAGUAGAAAUGACAAUGGCUGGAAAAAUUACAAAAGGCAAGUUGUUGAUGUAGGAACUUUGGCACAGGUUUGAGGACUUAUCUUGAAAAAGAUUGUGAUUCCAGCCCCUUCCUUUUUUUAGCUAUUAGAAACUUUCAGCUACACAAGUAUGAGAUGCCUUUGUGAAAACCUCAAUCCAUACAACAGGUAUUAUCUAUAACUUAAGCAGGUACACAAUUUUAAGCAAAAAAAAAAAAAAUCUGGACUGAGAAACAAACCAAUACUCCAGACCUGAUCCUGAUUAAAAUCAUGUUUAUUCAAUGAUGCUUGUUCUUCUGGUAGAGGGAUAAUAUUUAUCUACUGUAUCAAUUAUGUUAAGUUAAUUUAUAAUGUUCACUCGAUAAUGUUGUUUGCACAUGCUCCUAUUGCUAGGAAAGUGCUACCUAAUUCAUUUUCAUACAUCAAAAUCUAGUAAAUUGAUAUAAUUAUCUUAUUCUCCCUAGAAAUGCUGUUGGGGUCUGGUCUGCAUAUCUCAGAGGGAAGAGGAACGGAACAGUAGGUGACCUCGAGUACCAGAUGUUCAGCCAUGUCUGUAGCACUAUUUUUUAGCAAUACCAUCAAGAGAAGCCAGUUAAGUUUGAAGGAGACUUGCCAAGGUCAUUUCCAAGUUUAUGUGCUCCUGGGUUGGAGAUUGAGACUGGAUGUUUUAUUGAGGAAAUGCUUUGUCGCUAUGACAGUAUGGCUUUUGUUCUGUAUGUUAAGAAGACUUAUGUGCUCUGAUAACAUUUUAUUAACAAGCCAUUCUGAAUAUUUCUAGAAGGUUAUGUUUCCAAAGAAAUUUCUAAAUUAUGUACUAACUUGUUACUUUGCCAGCUUUUCAAUUUUAUGUCAUUAAAAAAAAUAAAUGCAAACAACAGUAGCAAAUUAUAGCAGCAUAAAACCCUAUUGUAACGCCACAUUCUACAAACUUGAAAGGAGAAUAAAAUAGAAUGGGAUAUGCUAGAUAAGGCAUAAUAAAUAGUAAGUAUAUUGAAUAUGUUGCAACUUACUUGCUUGGAAAAUUAGAGUGAUUUCCCAAUAGAAGUAUUUUAAUGUGCAAAUUUCCUAAAUUGUAAAAUUCAAAACAAAAAACCACCACAAUCACACUAAAACCACUCACAGCUAAGAUAUUACCUGCCUAGAAACAGUUUAACUGAUUUUUAAAUAAGGCUUCUUGG